GCACUUCUGAAAAGUCCUACAAUAAGACGAAACGGCCGUCCAGUGC
This is a non-coding RNA of Schistosoma mansoni, 46 nucleotides long. The record is from Rfam. Lineage: Eukaryota; Metazoa; Platyhelminthes; Trematoda; Strigeidida; Schistosomatidae.